UUAGGACCGGCGUCAAUUUUUUCCAUUUUUUUUAGCGAGGAAAAGAAACCAACAGGGAUUGCCUCAGUAUCGGCGAGUGAAGCGGCAAAAGCUCAAAUUUGAAAUCUAGCACCUUCGGUGUCUGAGUUGUAAUUUGAAGAUGGUAACCUCGGGUUUGGCUCUGGUCUAUGUUCCUUGGAACAGGACGUCAUAGAGGGUGAGACUCCCGUCUGAUGAGAUGCCCAUUCCUAUCUAAGGUGCUAUCGAAGAGUCGAGUUGUUUGGGAAUGCAGCUCUAAGUGGGUGGUAAAUUCCAUCUAAAGCUAAAUAUUGGCGAGAGACCGAUAGCGAACAAGUACAGUGAUGGAAAGAUGAAAAGAACUUUGAAAAGAGAGUGAAAAAGUACGUGAAAUUGUUGAAAGGGAAGGGCAUUAGAUCAGACUUGGUGUUUUACGAUUAUCUUCUCUUCUUGAGUUGUGCACUCGUAUUUCACUGGGCCAGCAUCGAUUCGGAUGGCAAGAUAAUGGCAGUUGAAUGUGGCUUCACUUCGGUGGAGUGUUAUAGCUUCUGCUGAUAUUGCCUGUCUGGAUCGAGGGCUGCGUCUUUGACUAGCGAUGCUGCGAAGUACCGUUUUGCCA
Molecule: ribosomal RNA, 616 nt
Filed under: Hansenula anomala
Lineage: Eukaryota; Fungi; Ascomycota; Saccharomycetes; Phaffomycetales; Wickerhamomycetaceae
Description: eukaryotic LSU rRNA
Rfam family: Eukaryotic large subunit ribosomal RNA
Source: RNAcentral